UACGUAGGGGGCUAGCGUUGUCCGGAUUCAUUGGGCGUAAAGCGCACGUAGGCGGCUUUCUAAGUCAGGGGUGAAAUCCUGGAGCUCAACUCCAGAACUGCCUUUGAUACUGGAGAGCUUGAGUCCGGAAGAGGUGAGUGGAACUCCGAGUGUAGAGGUGAAAUUCGUAGAUAUUCGGAAGAACACCAGUGGCGAAGGCGGCUCACUGGUCCGGUACUGACGCUGAUGUGCGAAAGCGUGGGGAGCAAACAGG
This 253-nucleotide ribosomal RNA is filed under the name uncultured bacterium. Its description in RNAcentral is "partial 16S ribosomal RNA". It matches the Rfam family "Bacterial small subunit ribosomal RNA", at positions 524 to 776 of the family's 1533-position model. The record is from RNAcentral.